This 496-nucleotide ribosomal RNA is filed under the name uncultured bacterium. Its description in RNAcentral is "partial 16S ribosomal RNA". It matches the Rfam family "Bacterial small subunit ribosomal RNA", at positions 28 to 506 of the family's 1533-position model. The record is from RNAcentral.
GAUGAACGCUGGCGGCGUGCCUAAUACAUGCAAGUCGAGCGAACAGACGAGGAGCUUGCUCCUCUGACGUUAGCGGCGGACGGGUGAGUAACACGUGGAUAACCUACCUAUAAGACUGGGAUAACUUCGGGAAACCGGAGCUAAUACCGGAUAAUAUAUUGAACCGCAUGGUUCAAUAGUGAAAGACGGUUUUGCUGUCACUUAUAGAUGGAUCCGCGCCGCAUUAGCUAGUUGGUAAGGUAACGGCUUACCAAGGCAACGAUGCGUAGCCGACCUGAGAGGGUGUUCGGCCACACUGGACCUGAGACACGGCCCAGCCCCCUACGGGAGGCAGCAGUAGGGAAUCUUCCGCAAUGGGCGAAAGCUUGACGGAGCAACGCCGCGUGAGUGAUGAAGGUCUUCGGAUCGUAAAACUCUGUUAUUAGGGAAGAACAAAUGUGUAAGUAACUAUGCACGUCUUGACGGUACCUAAUCAGAAAGCCACGGCUAACUACGU